AUGCAGGGCGGCGGCCUUGGCGGUGGGAGACGCGACGUUUGUGGGCGGAGCUCGCGUCUCAGGUGCUGGUGUGCAGCCAUAUCCACGCGGGUGGUUUGGUUGCGGGUGGUUGGCGGAGGUAGGGUGCGUUGGAGGGGUGUGAGCGCCGGGUACACCACUUGCUCAUGGGCCGACGGUGGCGACGUCCGUGGACGCCGUAUCCUUCAUCAAGGCUCCGUCGCGGUGUUCCCACUCCUUCGUGAUGCUCCAGGUGAAAACUUGAUCUUCGUGAUCGGACGGUGGCGGCUACCCAUAGUCGUGCCCUUCUGGAGGCACCGUCCUGGAGUCCCUGCUCCGUCGUUAUCCGCCUCGCCUCUCCUCGGAAGAUUGCGGAGGUCUCCGUUGGCUCCAAGCGAUUCAUGUUGUUUGGUAGUCGUUGGGGUGGCGUGGCGGUGCUUGGCACCUUUGUAUUUGCCUUGGGUGUGUGUCAUGUGCGGUGGUCGCGUGUGUUUGUAUCGGUGUGUUUGUAUGGUCGGUGCUUUAUAUAUAAAGCGGGGCGAAAGCCUUUUUCGGUAA
This 555-nucleotide ribosomal RNA is filed under the name Triticum aestivum (bread wheat). RNAcentral describes it as "partial small subunit ribosomal RNA". Lineage: Eukaryota; Viridiplantae; Streptophyta; Magnoliopsida; Poales; Poaceae. The record is from RNAcentral.